GGCCUGGGUGCCUCGGGAGGACUCCCCAAACUGGCUCCCCAAGUUCUAAUACCCAGUGCCUGCCGGAGGCAGCCGUCUCCCAGCCUGGCAGUGCCGUGGCAUCCGACUGGCGGGUGGUGGUGGAGGAGCGGAUCAGAAGCAAGACUCGGCGGCUCUCCAAGGGUGGCCCGAGGCAGGGCCCGGCAGGCAGCCCCAGCAGAUUCAGCUCCGUGGCCGGCCACUUCUUCUUCCCCCUCCUUCAGCGCUUUGACAGGUGAGUGGGUUUUCCGUGGGCCUGUGGAUGUGGGGACAGGGACCCUGGACGUACCCCUGUGGCCAGGAAGUUCAGGCUGGGGUCUGAGUGGGUUUGGGUGUGAACAGGGUCGUGGCUUUGCUGUGGCUUUUUGUAAGCCUGUGUUAAGAGGCAGGAAGCGUCCCACAAGGUUCCUCUGCGGUUGAGCUUUGCCAUGAGGCACCAGGCAUCUGCUCUGGGCUUGCGGCAUGGCCGGCAGUGCUGCCCGCAUGUGCCCGACGCCAUCACCCGCUGGGCCCUGCUCGCCUCCUCCUGCC
Molecule: small RNA, 549 nt
Filed under: Pongo abelii (Sumatran orangutan)
Lineage: Eukaryota; Metazoa; Chordata; Mammalia; Primates; Hominidae
Description: retained intron
Source: RNAcentral